CCUACGGGUGGCUGCAGUGGGGAAUAUUGGACAAUGGGGGCAACCCUGAUCCAGCAAUGCCGCGUGAAUGAUGAAGGCCUUCGGGUUGUAAAGUUCUUUUAUUGAUGACGAUAAUGACGGUAAUCAAUGAAUAAGCACCGGCUAACUUCGUGCCAGCAGCCGCGGUAAUACGAAGGGUGCUAGCGUUGUUCGGAAUGACUGGGCGUAAAGGGCGCGUAGGCGGCUAGAUACGUUUGAUGUGAAAUCCCCGGGCUUAACCUGGGAACUGCAUUGAA
Molecule: ribosomal RNA, 275 nt
Filed under: uncultured bacterium
Lineage: Bacteria
Description: partial 16S ribosomal RNA
Rfam family: Bacterial small subunit ribosomal RNA
Source: RNAcentral